RNAcentral lists this ribosomal RNA (468 nucleotides) under uncultured bacterium. Its description in RNAcentral is "partial 16S ribosomal RNA". It matches the Rfam family "Bacterial small subunit ribosomal RNA", at positions 28 to 507 of the family's 1533-position model. The record is from RNAcentral.
GACGAACGCUGGCGGCGUGCUUAACACAUGCAAGUCGAACGGACAGGCCCUGCUUUUGCUGGUUGCUCGUGUGGCGCACGGGUGAGUAACACGUGAGUAACAUGCCCCUGUCUUUGGGAUAACUUCAGGAAACUGGGGCUAAUACCGGAUAGGAGCUCCUGCUGCAUGGUGGGGGUUGGAAAGUUUCGGCGGUUGUGGAUGGACUCGAGGCUUAUCAGCUUGUUGGUGGGGUAGUGGCUUACCAAGGCUUUGACGGGUAGCCGGCCUGAGAGGGUGACCGGCCACAUGGGUACUGAGAUACGGCCCAGACGCCUACGUGAGGCAGUAGUGGGGAAUAUUGCAGAAUGGGCGGAAGCCAGAUGCAGCAACACCGCGUGCGGGAUGACGUCCUUCGGGUUAUAAACCGCUUUCUCCGGUGACAAAGCGUGAGUGACGGUAAUGGGUAAAGAAGCACCGGCUAACUACGUG